GUCCAACUGGCUCAGUCGGAUAAGCGCCCGCUUCUCAAGCAAGAGAUGCGGGUUCGAAUCUCGGCGCUGACA
RNAcentral lists this transfer RNA (72 nucleotides) under Plutella xylostella (diamondback moth). RNAcentral describes it as "tRNA-Glu". The record is from RNAcentral. Lineage: Eukaryota; Metazoa; Arthropoda; Insecta; Lepidoptera; Plutellidae.